GACUUCCAAGCUCAUGCCAAAGUUUUAUUGAUAAAUAAUGCGUUGCGCUUGAUUUUUAUUAUUUUGAAGUUAACCAAGACAAGAAGUAAACUUUUAAAGUAAAUUAUGUUCGUAGUGUUAAGUUAAAGUCGUGUUCAAGUUCGCUUUCUUGGUUUCGCCGGAUGUCACAGAAAUAAACUUCUGUAGUAAAUAAAACCUGAUAUUCUUGAAAAUGUCAGAAAAUAAUAAAAAGAAAACCGGAAGUUUCCGGAAGUUGUUUCCAAAUUUAUUUUUCUCGAGUAAAACAAGAGGAAAGACGAGCAAAGAUUCGAAGUCGACCUUGAAAUGUAACGCUGAUUUGUCAAUAAGCAAUCAAUAUCAGAGCCCACGAUCGAUAAGAUCAGAUAAGUAUGCUCAAGGAGACGAUAGCGAGCGAAUAUAUGAAAAUUUAACGACAACAAACAUACAAUCCGAUAAUGAAACCUUGAACAUCGAUAUACCGAGCAAUCAUUCGUCGAGUAGCACGCUUGUUUCUGAGAGUGUCAAAAAUAGAAAUCUCCAUUUAAACGAACCGGUUGCACGUUUCGUCGGAAAAGAGUGCUCGCAUUACGCGGCCAGACCGCAGGUACCUCCGAAGCCCCAGAACGAAAUGGUUCAUCCGACGGCGAACACUAAUUACGAUAAUUCACUCUACCCAGACGUUUAUUACCAUUCACUCGAGAAGCUGUCUGAUAAAAUAUCGCCUUUGGAUGAAAUUGAAAUUUAUAAGGCGUCGCAGGCUCAAGUGAAUCCUGCAUCUGUUGGUGCUGAAAUAAAAAGAGUCAGCACAAAAUUCUUAAUAUCUCCGAAAAAAGAAGCAGAAGUGCGUACUAUACAGCCGACUAGAGCUCGAAGCCUGUCUCUAGAAAAGGAAGGAAAUUGUCAUGAAGUAAAAAAGGAAGUAAGCCAGACAAAUGUGAAGAAACCAUAUAAUUACUCAGCACCGACGUCUCCAAUGCCCGUAACUCAUAAGAUACCAUCCAUGCCUAAGACGGUUUCUCCAUACGGCCAUUUGAGAAGAAACAUGAUCGAAAUCGAGGAAAAAAGGAAUUCGUUGAACAGAACCGGUCAACGCAACAGACCUUUGUCACCAUCAAGAUCGGAUUUUAAUUACCAGUCUACUCCUACAUCACAAAAUGAAGGGCCUAGACCUGAAGAAAACGAAAAAGAAAAAACGAGGCAAAAAGUUGAAGCGUUUUACUGGCAAAAAUUGAGAGAAAUGCGCCAGAAAGAAGAUGAAUAUUUGCUUAAGCAGUCACUAAGAGGUUCUGCUCGAAAUGCUUCUACAUUAUCGAAUUGUAGUUCUCCGAAUUCAUUUACUGUAGAACCUAGAAGCUACAGCCUCCCACGUGGUCAAGAUUUCCGAAGUUACACGAAACAACCAGUUUAUGCUCAAGCUUCUUUUAAAAGAGGAGCCCCCGAAAGACGCACUGAUACUUUUAUAAAAAAUCGUUCCUCUAUGGAACCAGAAAUCAUUUAUAGGAAUCCAGAAAAAUUACUUACUUUAUCGCCCAUUUCAUUGCAAGAAAGGAGAGUGUUUCAACCUGAUAUGCACAAUAAACAAGUUAAUCUUGAGGAACAAAACGUCAAAAACAACAAAGUUAAUUACUUAGGACAUAAUCCCAGGAAAGUGUUGAGUGCUCCACAGUGUGUUAAUUUGACUGAUAAUGUAAGGACUCCACCCUUGCCUCCUGUUAGAACAACAAGUGUUGGUGCCGGAAAAAAAACGCAUGUCAUAAACAAUACGAAAUUAAUUCAUUUACCUGGAGGAGGCCAUUCUGUAUAUUCAGAGUCGGAGAGUGGCUCGGAAGCUGGCGAAAUACAGAGAAUUUUCAACGAAAAUUCAAAAAAAGAAGAUGACUGGCACGGAGAUAGCUCUCGGAUUGAUGGGGGAUUGUCGGAUGGCGAGGCGAGCCGAGGUCCUGUCAGAGGACGCCCAUCUCGACGCGACGACCCGCGAAGACACACCCUCGCGGGGAACCACUUAUAUGUGCACCCACAUCACCCUGCACAGAUCAACUCGCUCGAGAUGGAGCUACCCAGGAGCGGACAACGGUCAGCUAAGCCUUCGGAAUACGCAUCUGUAAUGAAGCCUCGGGCUAGCGGACAAAGCCGUGUCUCUGACCCGAGAAUGAGGAAGCCUCCCCUGCCACGGAGCUAUCCGCCACCCACCAACAGUCUUCUAUACGACGAAGACCCUGGAAUCAUGUCGGAGGUCGAGACGGCGUCCACUGGCUUCAGGAGGGGAGGAAAGCAGAGGUCCUCUUUACCUGUAGUCAGGACGCCGAGCAAGACGCUGGAGAGACCGCUCGGUUUGGUGUUCCUGCAGUACAGAAACGAAACCAAGCGUGCCCUCCUGCCAAAUGAAAUAACAUCAAUCGACACAGUUAAAGCUUUAUUUGUUAGAAGUUUCCCAAAACAACUUACUAUGCAAUAUAUGGACAGCCCUAUGGUUAAAAUCUACAUUCACGACUCAUCCAAGGACAUGUUUUACGAACUCGAAGACGAACGGGCUCAUCUUCAUGACAUCCGGGACCGUUCUGUGCUGCGACUUUUUGAAGCAACCGACAUAGGAGGAGGAGCAUUCCCCGGUGUCGUCGGCGUGGGAUCAUUAGCUAUGCCACCGCCUGCAGCCAAUUGCUCAGGCCCUAGCAGCUGGGAUCAGGACCAGAGCUACUUCAGCGAGCCUGAAAUAGACUCCGAGUAUCACCAUCAGCAUGUCCACAAAACUAAGGUGAAGGCACCAGCUUACUAUAUGGGGAACCAAGCUCCAAGUACGCUGCCUCGUGGUGGCUCCAUGCUGCGGGCCUUCUCUCCAGCCGGCCCCCCCGUCCCCGCAGACCGAGUGAAGACCAUCCCCGUAACAGGUCCCUCGCCGGCCAAGCCGUUGCGUGCAUACGUUCCGGGGGGCGGGUCGGAAAGAUGUUUCCCCUUCACGGCGCCUGAUUGCGCCCGGGCCGCGGAACAACUAUACACGAUCCCCGGUCAUUCGGAUGGCUACAUGUCAUCCCCUGAGCGGAGUAGCAACAGGCAACCCUAUGAAGAUCCGUACUACACCCAGUUCCUGGGACCGGCUGCGGGCAGACCAGCUAUCGCACCUAUCAUUGAUGAGGAAGCAGGCGAUACGUUGAUAAUCGACGACGCGUAUCAGAUGUACGGGGUGAAUCCGAUCACCACGGCGCCCCGUCCAAUGCCUCGACCUCCUUAUGAUGCAAGGAUUCCGCCCCCAGUCGAUGAGCUGCAGCGGAUCCGUGUUGAAAAGAUGGAACGUCAACUGGCUAACUUGACUGGUCUGGUCCAAAAGGCACUGCAGGUCCCAGGACCAUCUACUGCUACGCCUCCGACAGCAGCGCCAAGACAGGAGCUCCAGAAUUAUGGGGCAGCUCGACAAGGAGCAGGACAAGAUGCCGCGAGUUUUACCAGCAACGGGAGACUUCCCAAAUUAGGGAGGGAUAAAUUUCAGAAAUCCGUGUCCUUCGAAAAGUCAGUGUCGUUCAGUGAUGAUCCGCCAGACAUGAAUUCGCCCAAACAACAUUCGCCUCAGCACUCAGCUGAUACAAAACCUGCAAAACCGGCAAUCAAAUCAUCGACAUUGCCGAGGACAUCCUCUCAAGAGCGUGAUCGCUUGAAGCCGGCUCCUCCACCGAAGCCAGCUGGACUGGUCGGCAAGCAGAAUCCAAUGGGACCGCAGAAGAUUUACACCAUCAAUGUGACUUCGGAUUUCUUCGGGCAAUUGCGGGUGUUGCAGAAACAGAGCCGCGACCUGAGGAUCGAGACCCGCAAUUUGCGUCGUUCGACCUUGACUCACGCGAUACAGAUGAGGCAGAUGAUGGCCGAGACCAUUGUCAAGAUCGGGGAGCUGGCCGCUACAUUCUGCGAUCAAAAUCCGGACGCGCAACUGACUCGCGAGGAGGAGAUGUACCGUCAGGACAUGCUGCUACUGGAGAAUGAUCUGUACGAGCUGGAGGCUACCGUCGAACGUCUUCGCGGUCAAGCUGCUAAUAGUAGGGAGACUCGGGUCAAUAUGGCGGACAUUGAACGCAUCGCGAUGGUGCUAUCAAAGAGCAGCAAGACAGUUGCUGAUUGGAAGCUUAAAUUCCCCGUGCUCCAAGACACAAUGAAGACCAAGCUGUCUGCUGAAAUGGAGAAGGUGGUGCGUAAGGAGAAGAUCCUGGAAGACGAACCGGAACGCCUCGAGCUCGCUCUACGUCGUUGUAAGAAGCUCACCGGAACACUCGUCACUCUCAAGAGGUUGGCCUGUGUUCAAGAGCAACGUCUCCCGAUGAACGAUGGUCGCAUCUCACCCGAAUCAUCCCAAAGCUCCACUUUCACGGCUUGCCCUUCCUCCGAGGAUUUCAACUCGGACAGCACCUGUCCUAUGGUGACCGCUCACAACAACAAGUUCGCCUGGAGACAGAGCCAAUACUUCAAAGAAGCUAUAGUUAUUAACGAUGCAUUGUGAAUAUCAGGAGCAGUUCACAGCCCGCUGCGUAUGAAAAUCAAUGAUUGGCUUAAAACAUCCCCUUGGGGUCCGGGUGUGCUGGACGAGGCGGCCAGGGACGCGGAGC
Molecule: unclassified non-coding RNA, 4586 nt
Filed under: Bombyx mandarina (wild silkworm)
Lineage: Eukaryota; Metazoa; Arthropoda; Insecta; Lepidoptera; Bombycidae
Description: coiled-coil domain-containing protein CG32809, transcript variant X2
Source: RNAcentral